AUGUUCACGGAAGAGGAAAUUUGGAACACAAUUAAAGAGCUGCCACCGGAUCACGCCCCCGGUACGGAUGGUUUCAUUGGUGCUUUCUACCAUAGGGCUUGGCCCAUCAUUAAGCAUGAUGUUAUGGUAGUAAUGAUGAAGUUAUAUGUGGGAGACGGCAGAGGAUUUGGCAAACUUAAUAGAGCGCACAUUGUUCUUAUUCCCAAAAAACUGUAUGUUGAACUUGUUGGAGAUUACCGACCCAUCAGCCUAACUCACAACGCGGCUAAGCUGUUCGCCAAAAUGCUUGCACUUAGGGCAAGAAAGUGGAUGAAAGAGGUCGUUGCUGCAAACCUAUCGGCAUUUAUCCAAGGACGGAAUUUGCAUGACAAUUUCUUGUUGGUAAGGCAAGUGGCUAGGAAAAUUCAUGAAAGAAGAGAACCAGGGGUGUUCCUCAAGCUUGACAUCUCACGUGCUUUUGAUUCCCUAUCUUGGCCUUUUCUCUUCGAGGUCUUGAGAAAGAAGGGAUUCAGUGCAAAUGGAUUGGCUGGAUUUUGA
RNAcentral lists this ribosomal RNA (537 nucleotides) under Triticum aestivum (bread wheat). RNAcentral's name for it is "partial small subunit ribosomal RNA". The record is from RNAcentral. Lineage: Eukaryota; Viridiplantae; Streptophyta; Magnoliopsida; Poales; Poaceae.